This 1137-nucleotide long non-coding RNA is filed under the name Falco tinnunculus (common kestrel). RNAcentral's name for it is "lncRNA (ENSFTIG00000009812.1)". The record is from RNAcentral. Lineage: Eukaryota; Metazoa; Chordata; Aves; Falconiformes; Falconidae.
GCGCAAUGUGCCUAAGGAGAACAGGACACAUAAUAAAAUACAUCUGCGUGAAACCCCGUUAUUGCCCGUCAAAACUCGUCUGCUGGCAAAUCACGGUGCAAAAGGCGGCUGGGAGCUGGAACCGAAGGGCUCGCUGCACCGGGGGGCUCUGGCACAGCUCCCCACUCGUAUUCCUGGGUAAAAAUAUAGUAGUAGCUCUGCUGCAGCCAAGCAGAUAUGCAGAUUUCAACUUCUUUUCUGAAUUUCAUCAAAUAUGUCAUAAAUAAUUGGCUCAAUGAAAGGCUAAGUCAAUGACAAGUCUGAAGUUGAAAACUCAGCUUGUUUUGAGCUCUUUUCAAGUGCCGCCACUCCUCCUUCCUACAGCUUUAUGAAAGUUAAUGAUCUGAUUAAAGCUAGGUGGAGCAUACAGCUGUGAGGAUUUCACCGUUGCAGCUCAUUACAAACCAUCUGAGAACCCGCUUUUUGUUGAAAAUGUUAAUUUAACCCACCCUUUUCCCCAGAACAGGUCCGUUGGGGAAGGUUUCUCCUCUGCCAGUGAAGUUCCUGAUCACCACGGAGCAGCGCUGAGGCUUGGGGUGUUCGAGCAAGGAGCAAAGGAGGACAUGGGGCACGUCCCUCUUGGAAGCUCAGGUGGCCGUGGUUGGAGAGACGUUACACCUGGAUGCAGUGAUUUGGGAUGCUUUCCAUGGCACCUCUCUCCCAGCCUGGCAGAGUAGUCUUGCUCAGUCCUCCGCACAAGAGCGGUCCUGUUGCUGUCUGUGAAGCCGUCCAGACCAAAUGUACAAGUGGAAGGCACAGCCUGAGGGGAAGAGCCUCUGGCUGCUGCACUGCAGGGAUGCUUGCAGACACAGCCCUGCUCCUGCACAAGCCUCCCACCGCUGCUGGACUCCUGACUCUUGCAGAAGGCACUGCUCUACCCCAGGGUCUGAAUCCUGCUCACGCCGCACCUUCCAGACCCCCCAGCAGGAGCAGAGGAGGCACAGAGGUGGCCCAGAGUUGGCAGAGGGGACAGUCACCAUUUCAUACCUCCAGACACCCGGGCAAAGCCGAUUCUUAGGAGCUGCAGCCUCCCACCUUGCAACCACAGCCACGCAGGCAGCGCCUGGGGACCGGGAGGGACCAGCUGCUCAUGUGGCC